This 451-nucleotide ribosomal RNA is filed under the name Blastocystis sp. subtype 5. RNAcentral's name for it is "SSU rRNA". The stretch from base 1 to 372 matches the Rfam family "Eukaryotic small subunit ribosomal RNA", at positions 82 to 476 of the family's 1831-position model. Lineage: Eukaryota; Bigyra; Opalinata; Blastocystidae. The record is from RNAcentral.
UGAAACUGCGAAUGGCUCAUUAUAUCAGUUAUAGUUUAUUAGAAAUACUUUACUACUUGGAUAACCGUAGUAAUUCUAGGGCUAAUACAUGAUAAAUCCUCAACUGGAAAGGUGUGUUUAUUAGUAUAAAACCAUAUAUCUUCUAGUGAGUAAUAAUAACCUUUCGUAUCGUAUGUCGUAUAACGAUAGUUCUUUCAAGUUUCUGCCCUAUCAGCUUUCGAUGGUAGUAUAUGGGACUACCAUGGCAGUAACGGGUAACGAAGAAUUUGGGUUCGAUUUCGGAGAGGGAGCCUGAGAGAUGGCUACCACAUCCAAGGAAGGCAGCAGGCGCGUAAAUUACCCAAUCCUGACAUAGGGAGGUAGUAACAAUAAAUCAAACCCGGAAAAAAUAGUUUGCACCGUUUAAAAUCAAUGUGUGCCGGUUACCUUUGCCCGUUAAAAGGUAGGUUGG